This 380-nucleotide ribosomal RNA is filed under the name uncultured bacterium. RNAcentral's name for it is "partial 16S ribosomal RNA". It matches the Rfam family "Bacterial small subunit ribosomal RNA", at positions 338 to 710 of the family's 1533-position model. The record is from RNAcentral.
CCUACGGGUGACAGCAGUGGGGAAUAUUGCUCAAUGGGCGAAAGCCUGACGCAGCCACGCCGCGUGAGGGAUGAAGGUCCUCGGAUUGUUAACCUCUUUUUGUAGGGAAGAACGGUCACUGUGCUAAUCAGCUCUGAAUUUACGGUACCUGCAAAGGUAGCACCGGCUAACUCCGUGCCAGCAGCCGCGGUAAUGCGGAGGGUGCGAGCGUUAAUCGGAAUUACUGGGGGUAAAGCGCGCGUAGGCGGUAUGUCAAGUCAAGGGUCAAAUGGCCGGGCUCAACGUGGGAACUGCCUUUGAAACUGGCAAACUGGAGUGUGUGAGAGGAUGGUGGAAUGAGAGGUGUAGGAGUGAAAUGCGUAGAUAUUUGGAAGAACAUC